UAGAUCGCACUUCAUGGGAUCAAUUCUAUAGUGUGAUUGUAGGUCCUCAAUCUAAAGCUGGAUCCAUUCUUCCACCAUGAAGAUUUUCAGUGUGAUUCUCUGAGCGGGAAGCUGCUCUUGAAUUCUUAAGAGCAUUGAUGACCGUUCUGGCUCGGUCUGCCGAAGAAGUUCGGGGAGGAUCGCACAGGCUGAGUGGU
This 197-nucleotide small nucleolar RNA is filed under the name Penaeus japonicus. RNAcentral's name for it is "small nucleolar RNA U3". It matches the Rfam family "Small nucleolar RNA U3". Rfam says of the family: Small nucleolar RNAs (snoRNAs) are involved in the processing and modification of rRNA in the nucleolus. There are two main classes of snoRNAs: the box C/D class, and the box H/ACA class. The record is from RNAcentral. Lineage: Eukaryota; Metazoa; Arthropoda; Malacostraca; Decapoda; Penaeidae.